Molecule: ribosomal RNA, 206 nt
Filed under: uncultured bacterium
Lineage: Bacteria
Description: partial 16S ribosomal RNA
Rfam family: Bacterial small subunit ribosomal RNA
Source: RNAcentral
CUCGUAGGCGGCCAACUAAGUCAGACGUGAAAUCCCUCGGCUUAACCGGGGAACUGCGUCUGAUACUGGAUGGCUUGAAUCCGGGAGAGGGAUGCGGAAUUCCAGGUGUAGCGGUGAAAUGCGUAGAUAUCUGGAGGAACACCGGUGGCGAAGGCGGCAUCCUGGACCGGCAUUGACGCUGAGGAGCGAAAGCCAGGGAGCAAACG